GACAGAGGUGGCAAGCGUUGUUCGGAUUUAUUGGGUGUAAAGGGUAGGUAGGCGGUCGGGUAAGUCCGGCGUGAAAUCCCAUGGCUCAACCGUGGAACUGCGUUGGAAACUGCCUGACUUGAGUACCGGAGAGGUGAAGGGAAUUCUCGGUGUAAGGGUGAAAUCUGUAGAUAUCGAGAGGAACACCAGUGGCGAAGGCGCUUCACUGGCCGGUAACUGACGCUGAACUACGAAAGCAAGGGGAGCAAACAGG
RNAcentral lists this ribosomal RNA (253 nucleotides) under uncultured bacterium. Its description in RNAcentral is "partial 16S ribosomal RNA". It matches the Rfam family "Bacterial small subunit ribosomal RNA", at positions 524 to 776 of the family's 1533-position model. The record is from RNAcentral.